CCUACGGGGUGCAGCAGUGAGGAAUAUUGGUCAAUGGCCGGAAGGCUGAACCAGCCAUGCCGCGUGAAGGUCAGUGCCCUAUGGGCGUUAAACUUCUUUUGUGCGGGAGCAAUAAUGGUCACGUGUGGCCAGACGAGAGUACCGUACGAAUAAGCAUCGGCUAACUCCGUGCCAGCAGCCGCGGUAAUACGGGGGAUGCAAUCGUUAUCCGGAUUUAUUGGGUUUAAAGGGUGCGUAGGCUGUGAGGUAAGUCAGCGGUGAAAUGCCCCCGCUCAACGGGGUGAAGUGCCAUUGAUACUGCCUGGCUGGAAUGCGGAUGCCGUGGGAGGAAUGUGUGGUGUAGCGGUGAAAUGCAUAGAUAUCACACAGAACACCGAUUGCGAAGGCAUCUCACGAAUCCGCGAUUGACGCUGAUGCACGAAAGCGUGGGUAUCAAACAGGAUUAGAUACCCCAGUAGUC
This 460-nucleotide ribosomal RNA is filed under the name uncultured bacterium. RNAcentral describes it as "partial 16S ribosomal RNA". It matches the Rfam family "Bacterial small subunit ribosomal RNA", at positions 338 to 795 of the family's 1533-position model. The record is from RNAcentral.